Molecule: non-coding RNA, 3603 nt
Organism: Arachis ipaensis
Lineage: Eukaryota; Viridiplantae; Streptophyta; Magnoliopsida; Fabales; Fabaceae
Source: RefSeq, a predicted model, not a curated record
AUUAGCGUCCGUGUUCGUACUCGUCGGAAAUUGGCAGAAUGGCGUUGGUUCUGAACUGCAAUUUGGCUUCAGCUGCGGUACUGUAUUGGAUAGCAGCUCUUUAAUAAAAUAGCUACAAUUCAAUCGUUUUGGGUAUAUAUAAUGCAAUAUCAGCAGAUUUCCUUCGUUUGUUCCUCGGGCAAACACAAACGAGAGCAGAGGCACAAAACACACCUCCGCGCACGAAUCCUUGCCGCCGAGUACCUCUGCUUGUCAGUACCAGUUGCAUCGCGCUUUCCCUGCUGGUGGGUCCAUUGCCAAUCUGCUCACUGCUUCCUCUGGUCCGUCCUUAAGUCUGCUCAGCUUCUUGGUUCAGAUCAUUGGUAUCCAAAAAAUUUGUCUUUUAAUUUUGUUCUGUUUUCUUUUUGGUUUUCUUGAUUUGGUUUUAGAAUUGUUCACUAAACCGAGAAUUUUUGAGAUUACAAGCAUAAAGGUGCUCCAUGAGCCCCCCAAAUCUUGUUAACCCUAACUCUUACUCCAUGAGCUUUGAUUGGCGCUACUUCUGCUGGCCCUGACCCCAAAACGGUGCCCCCUGCUUCCUCUCUACUGCCAAAUCUGCUCUAUCCGUGGUUCGAAUUUGCUGCAGCUGCACGAGUUUCUUAGCACAGUCGCCUUCGGCCUCCAUCGAUGCUAGCCCCGUCACCACCACCACCAUCUCAGGUAUUUAACUGUCCCCAGUUGAGAGAGAUUUCGUUGGAGUUUUUUCGACAAAAAAAUGAUAGUACUGAUCUAACAACUAUGAUUGAAGGAUUAGGCAGAAAUUGUUCAAGAUUGCAGAAUAUACAUAUAAGCUGCUUUGAGGCUUUUUCAUGCUGCUGUGCUUGCUCUUACAGUUGCUCGAUUGAGGUUUGUAAUCUUAAACUCCAUUUUCUUACUGUGAUUAAAAAAUUUUGUUCACAUGAGAUAAUAAUCCUGUUGCUUCUAUUCUUUGAAAGUUUUGGAUUCGAUUCCAGCAGCAUGAUUAAUUUCAUCAUUAUAUUGUUAAGGGAUUUUGAUAGGACGAAGAUGAUUUUGCAGUUCAUUGGUAUUGAUAAUUUGUACACUAAUUGUUACCAUGUUUUAUAAGUGUUUUCAAUGAGUUUAUUAAGGUGAGCGGCAGUGAAAGCAUUAGAAGAAGAAGGAGAAGAUGAAAGUUGAAUUACGACUUCCAUGAUUGACUGCAACCUUAGCUCUACAAUACCAUGAAAGGGUUUUAGAGAGAAUUGAAAACAAUAGAGUGAAAGUGCAAUAGCAUGAAUGAGUAUUGAAUUAAGCUGGUUCCUUGAGAGUUAAGUUACUUCAACUAUAUCUACAAAUUUUUUUCAAGAUAUUUGUUCCUAUCUUUAAUUAAUUAUAUUAUAUUGGAUUUAUUGCCUAAGCUUCAAAGGAGAUGUCUUUUCUUCUCUGAGCUUUUUUUAAGUGGUUGGAUUUAAGCUAAAAUGAAAAUUUGGACUAUUCAAUUAUUAUGUAUAUAUUGAAGUAUUUUUCUUGUUCAGAAAUUAAAAUAACAAUUAAAAAAUAUUUAAUUGAAUAUAUAUAGUGUUGCUGUGAUGAAAGUUACAUGUCAUCACUGACUUGUUGAUUGCUAUAUAUGGAAAAUUAGGAAAUGAUGGAGUGGGAGCACAAGACUUGUUUAUUCUUUUUUCUUUGAAUUUUUCUGUGUUGAGUCUUAUGUUGAUUGUUCGGCCAAGGAUGAAUUUAGAUGUCUCAUUAUAUUUUUGGAUGACAUAGAAACAUAAAGGUGUCAUUAUCUUAGGAAAGAAUAGAAAAAUAAAAUUGAUUAAAAAAUUUAAAUGUGAUUAGUUUUCUUUUACAUAGUACUAAAAAUUAAAAUAUGCAAUUAUUUUUUUCAAUUAUAUAUCUUUAGUACUUAUUAGAAGUGAAACAAAUUGAAAUUUCAUAAAUAUUUGUUUACAUCCUUGCUGUUUCUAUAAUAUGUACUAUUGGGGCUGAAAUUAAUAAAAAUAUAUGCAACAGGGGAUGUUGGAAUUUUUUUUUUCUGGUUUAGAUUACUCAUCCACUUGUCCUCUGGUCAACGACCGAGUGAAGCAGUUAGUAUAUACUUGUAUUCGAGCCUUACAUUAGAAUAGGUAGGAUUCAUUGGCUUAAUUUAACUUCAUUAAUUUCUAUGGGAGUUCUAAAUAUAACAUGCAUAUGAUGGUCAGAAGGGGGUGACAUUACUUUCACUCUCUUGUGCUUCAAUAUUAGGUGAUUUGUAUGUAUCUUAUGACAUAACCUGAAAACCAUACUUCUUAUAGAACCUUUUGAAGGAUAUUCAGCAUGAUUUUUGUUGUUGCUAUACUCUUUCUUUUGAAGCAUUACUUUAAAAAUCUCUUUUUUGUUUGGUAGAUAAAUUUUUUUAUGUACCGCAUGUUUUUGGGUUUCUUGUGCUGUCUUGCUUAAUUUUCUUUUACUGGAUAGAAAUCAGUUGAAGGAUCAAUUUUUGUUGGCUCCUAAGGAAUCUAGUGUAACAGCUAUUCGUAAAGGCUUCCAAAUCAAAUAGCUACUUCAAUUACAUUUUGCUAUUAACCUUUUAUUUUUCUAUUCAAUUGAUUUAUUAUAUCUUUGGCUUUGCUAAUUGAUUUAAAGCAUUUUUGAUAGUUCACAAUACUCUAUCUGGUUUAAAGCAUUUCUAUCCAUACUAGGAUGCCUUGAAAAAUAUAUUUUAUUAAUAUACUUUCUUUAAUUAUUCAAUUUAUUACUUGGUGUGAUAUGUGUUAUUUACAAAGGGGCUUGACUAUCUUAAUUUUAUUUCGACUUUAUUAAGAUAAUCUAAUAGGUAAAAUCAGUAACUCUUUCUAACUUGUUAUACAUUGAAUUCCUUAUUGUGGCAGAUGCUUCCACUUGGAACCAACAAUAAAGAGCUACUUGAAGAUUGUCUUUGUGGGUAAAAUAUUUUGGUCAGAUCUUUGUUUUCUUGUUUAAAGUUUUUAUUUGUUGAUUAGUUAAUCUUUUUUUAGUAGAUGUUUGUCAGAUCUUUAUUUUUAGUAUCUAUCAAUUGUGAAUGAAUUCAUUUAAGAUAUUCAUGCUCGAUGGCCUAAGGCUAUUGUUCAAGCUUGUUUUCAUUCUAGUAUAUAACUCUCAUUGUUCACAUAGAUUUUAUCAACUAUUUUAUUUCUUUGAUUUUUUAGGCACAUAGCUAUUAUCAAUUGUAUAAAUUAACUAUGUUUAUGUCAAGUAUGUUUUUCCUUGGUUUGCAAUGUAGGGCUUGGUGUUUUAAAAAUGACCAUCUAGAUAAUUUUAAAGAUAGCAUGGUACACUGAAAUAGCUGUCAAAAUGUAGAGUUAUUUUGGUUUUUUGUAGCAGCAAAAAAAAUAAAGAGGCAGACAACAAAGUGUGCUAAGUUAUCUGGUCCAACAACAAGGUGGAAGCUACCACCAGACAUUGCUGCACGGAUGAAUUCUUUGGAUGGACAUGGCGGAAAAUAGAAAUUAGGAUAUAUAUAAUAUUUUAUUUUUCAGUAUAUGUUUUGUUUAAGUUAACUAUGCAGCAUUUUUUAUCAGCCAAAUACUUUACAUUUUUUGGUGACUAUUGAAAUACUCUAUUGAUAUUAAAAUAAAUAUGUUAAUUUGUUUUGCUUUUAAA